GCCGCCCCAUCGGACUGCGCUUCUCUCCGUGCGCUCCUCCAACAGGAGAGCUGCCUCUGCCCCCUCCCACCCGCUCCACACCGCGUGUCCCAGGAGGCAGCGUGUUAACAAUGUCUGGCUGUUGGAGAUGGACUAAUGUGGUUUAAGGAGGAUGCUUAAUCCUCCCACCACUGUGGCUGUUGUUUAUGAAGGUGCCAAGCAACAUCUCUUUUCUGCCUCCAAUUUAAAAAAAAAUACAAACCCAAGGUGAAGGCACUUUGGCUUGCUGGGAAUCUGAAAGCGAGAAAAAGCAGGAAGAAGAAGAAUCAAGUGGUGCUCGCAGCCCUCAGGCUUUUUUUCCACGGCAUCAAUGCAUCGAUGCCACUUCCUUACGCUAUUCAAGCCAUUGCUCCAGUGACCAGGCUGCCCCCUGGGUGAUGCACACAACCAAAAAAACAGCCGAGUGAUGCACUAAGUAGCUAAAUAUGCUAACAUUACAAAACACAUUAGAUAAAAGCCUGUUCUCCCUGCUGUA
Molecule: long non-coding RNA, 514 nt
Organism: Micropterus dolomieu (smallmouth bass)
Lineage: Eukaryota; Metazoa; Chordata; Actinopteri; Centrarchiformes; Centrarchidae
Exons: 3
Source: RefSeq, a predicted model, not a curated record